RNAcentral lists this ribosomal RNA (431 nucleotides) under uncultured bacterium. Its description in RNAcentral is "bacterial SSU rRNA". It matches the Rfam family "Bacterial small subunit ribosomal RNA", at positions 28 to 454 of the family's 1533-position model. The record is from RNAcentral.
GACGAACGCUGGCGGCGCGCCUAACACAUGCAAGUCGAACGGAGCUUAAAGAGCUUGCUUUUUAAGCUUAGUGGCGAACGGGUGAGUAACGCGUGAGUAACCUGCCCUAGAGUGGGGGACAACAGUUGGAAACGACUGCUAAUACCGCAUAAGCCCACGGUACCGCAUGGUACUGAGGGAAAAGGAUUUAUUCGCUUUAGGAUGGACUCGCGUCCAAUUAGCUAGUUGGUGAGGUAACGGCCCACCAAGGCGACGAUUGGUAGCCGGACUGAGAGGUUGAACGGCCACAUUGGGACUGAGACACGGCCCAGACUCCUACGGGAGGCAGCAGUGGGGGAUAUUGCACAAUGGGGGAAACCCUGAUGCAGCGACGCCGCGUGGAGGAAGAAGGUUUUCGGAUUGUAAACUCCUGUCGUUAGGGACGAUAAUGA